Molecule: ribosomal RNA, 274 nt
Filed under: uncultured bacterium
Lineage: Bacteria
Description: partial 16S ribosomal RNA
Rfam family: Bacterial small subunit ribosomal RNA
Source: RNAcentral
AUACGGAGGGUGCAAGCGUUACUCGGAAUCACUGGGCGUAAAGCGCGCGCAGGCGGUCUUUUAAGUUGGAUGUGAAAGCCUACGGCUCAACCGUAGAACUGCAUCCAAAACUAUUUAGCUAGAGUGUGGGUGAGGAAGAUGGAAUUAGUUGUGUAGGGGUAAAAUCCGUAGAGAUAACUAGGAAUACCAAAAGCGAAGGCAAUCUUCUGGAACACUACUGACGCUGAGGCGCGAAAGCGUGGGGAGCAAACAGGAUUAGAAACCCUAGUAGUCC